Molecule: long non-coding RNA, 381 nt
Filed under: Bos taurus (domestic cattle)
Lineage: Eukaryota; Metazoa; Chordata; Mammalia; Artiodactyla; Bovidae
Description: long non-coding RNA NONBTAT018374
Source: RNAcentral
UAUUACUUUAGCUUCUUAAAUGGUCUUUAAUGUUUUUUUCCCCCUAUGAUUUGCAUGUCAGAUUAAAAAAUUACUGGGAAGUUUAUAGGUGGGGGAAGUCAAUUGUGAAUUUAAAAUGAAUUCUUAGAAGAGACUUGUAGUGUUUAUGAGCUGUACUGUCUCUGUAGUUAUUUGUAUUUAGAUGGGUUUCAGGUAUGAAUUUUAUUAUGUGUCAGGAAUGGUAGAGCACCUUGAUAUUUCUUCAGCCUUUCUGAGUCAGCCCUCCAGUCCAGGUGUCUGGUGUUUCCUCAUUUUUGGGAGUAUAUAGUUGCCUUCAUGGAUUCAAAUUUAACAAAAAUAAUAAAGUCAGCUUUCAGACAGCAUAAGAAAUAGGAGCAGUGA